RNAcentral lists this ribosomal RNA (72 nucleotides) under Paramormyrops kingsleyae. Lineage: Eukaryota; Metazoa; Chordata; Actinopteri; Osteoglossiformes; Mormyridae. The record is from RNAcentral.
UCCAACAGCAGGUCUGGGCCUGGCCAGUACUUGGAUGGGAGACCAAGUGGGAAUGCUGGGUUGCAGCUGGAU